Molecule: ribosomal RNA, 497 nt
Filed under: uncultured bacterium
Lineage: Bacteria
Description: partial 16S ribosomal RNA
Rfam family: Bacterial small subunit ribosomal RNA
Source: RNAcentral
GAUGAACGCUGGCGGCGUGCCUAAUACAUGCAAGUCGAGCGAACGGACGAGAAGCUUGCUUCUCUGAUGUUAGCGGCGGACGGGUGAGUAACACGUGGAUAACCUACCUAUAAGACUGGGAUAACUUCGGGAAACCGGAGCUAAUACCGGAUAAUAUUUUGAACCGCAUGGUUCAAAAGUGAAAGACGGUCUUGCUGUCACUUAUAGAUGGAUCCGCGCUGCAUUAGCUAGUUGGUAAGGUAACGGCUUACCAAGGCAACGAUGCAUAGCCGACCUGAGAGGGUGAUCGGCCACACUGGGACUGAGACACGGUCCAGACUCCUACGGGAGGCAGCAGUAGGGAAUCUUCCGCAAUGGGCGAAAGCCUGACGGAGCAACGCCGCGUGAGCGAUGAAGGUCUUCGGAUCGUAAAACUCUGUUAUUAGGGAAGAACAUAUGUGUAAGUAACUGUGCACAUCUUGACGGUACCUAAUCAGAAAGCCACGGCUAACUACGUG